UAAAGGGCUGCAGUAUAUUGACUGUACAAAGGUAGCAUAAUCAUUAGUCUUUUAAUUGAAGACUUGUAUGAAAGAUUUGAUGAAAUAUAAACUGUCUCUAAUUUAUAAAUAGAAAUUAAUUUUUUAAUUAGAAAGUUAAAAUAUUAUUAAAAGACGAGAAGACCCUAUAGAGUUUUAUAAUUUAUUUAUUUAAUUAAUAUAUAUAUAUAUAUAUAUAUAUAUAUAUAUAUAUAUAUAAUAUUUAAAUUUAAUAAAUAAUUAAAUUAUUAUAUUGGGGUGAUAAGAAAAUUUAAUAAACUUUUUUAUUUUUAAACAUAAAUAAAUGAAAAAAUGAUCCAUUAUUAAUGAUUAAAAGAAAAAAUUACCUUAGGGAUAACAGCGUAAUAUUUUUUUUUAGUACAAAUAAAAAAAAAAGUUUGCGACCUCGAUGUUGGAUUAAGAUAAAAUUUAAAUGCAAAAGUUUAAAAGUGUUGAU
Molecule: ribosomal RNA, 475 nt
Filed under: Euphydryas aurinia
Lineage: Eukaryota; Metazoa; Arthropoda; Insecta; Lepidoptera; Nymphalidae
Description: partial 16S ribosomal RNA
Source: RNAcentral